UUUGGAGGGCACUUCAAAAGUUAGCGAGAAAAGGGAGACUGUCAAAAUCAAAUAUUCAAUCAUGACCAGACCGACCGGAUGUGGUUAAAAUUUUAUUUAAUUCGCAACUAACUACUAGCACUUGUCUGGAAUAAAACUAGUAAGGUCGUGCUUCACAUGCUCACGUUUCUAGAUGUUUGUCUAUCUUACUCAGCGUUAAUUAUACCCAUGCUAAAUGUACUAGAAAAAGCAAGAACUCCAAAAAAUUCUUAAAAAAAACAUCAUCAUUCACAGCAAGAGUCGUCAGAUCUAAUCCACUUCAAAAAUCACCCACCUAAAUCAUAUGAAAAGGUCAGCAUAUAUAUACCUACUUAUAAAUUACCAACAUCUACCAUUAUAAAAAAAUUCAAAAACUCAUAUACUUUCUUGUAAAUUAUCCGAUGUGCCAUUACAAAAUAAACCCGGCCAAAGUGUCGAUGCGUUGCAUCGUUCCACACGCUUAUUUUCACCUUCAUUAGUUUAACUCUUAUAUAUACUUCCUCCAUAUCGAAAUACCUGUCAUUCUUGACUUUUUCUUGCAAUAUUUGGCCAUUCAUCUUAUUUAAAAUUUUGUUGCAAAUAUACGAAA
RNAcentral lists this long non-coding RNA (607 nucleotides) under Setaria viridis. RNAcentral describes it as "long non-coding RNA (SVIR_LNC006052)". Lineage: Eukaryota; Viridiplantae; Streptophyta; Magnoliopsida; Poales; Poaceae. The record is from RNAcentral.